This is a long non-coding RNA of Pocillopora verrucosa, 555 nucleotides long. RefSeq lists it as uncharacterized. NCBI's taxonomy places the organism in Eukaryota, Metazoa, Cnidaria, Anthozoa, Scleractinia, Pocilloporidae. The record is from RefSeq and is a predicted model, not a curated record.
GGCAUAUAUGAGCCUGAUCUCUUAAAGAAAAAUUCGAACUACUUGACUCUAUAUAUUUAACUUGAAGCGCUCCAAGAAGGCGCGACGAACAGAGAAGGAUAUUUAUACCGUGAUCAGAAAAUUCUUUUAAGACAGAAAAGAAUGAAGCUUUCAAGGUCUGCGAUUUUGUUUAUAUCACUGGUGUUCUUCGCGAUCCUUUUCUGCAAUGUCGACUGCAAUAUGGGGUACAUUCGAUUUGGUCGUAACUUGAAGAAGCGACCGCUCGACGAAGUUAGGGCCAUAACACGGACAAAAGCUGACGGGAGUAUGAAAGUGAGGAGCCGCGAGCAAGACAUAAGAAACGCUGCUGCAUACCGGUAUGGCACACAGGAGGAACAGGAGUUUGAAACGCAAUUGAAUCGGCGGUGAAUAAAACCUGAUCAAUAGUUUAUGCUUGACAAUUGAUUCGAAGAGGAAAGAGGGGAUGAAUUUGUCCACCGCAAUUAAGAACAUAUAUUAUUUGUAUUGAGUUGAUUCUCCAAAUAAAUGCGAUUCAGCCAGUACACGAGUCACUUA